This 338-nucleotide unclassified non-coding RNA is filed under the name soil metagenome. RNAcentral's name for it is "partial contains 5.8S ribosomal RNA, internal transcribed spacer 2, and large subunit ribosomal RNA". The stretch from base 1 to 120 matches the Rfam family "5.8S ribosomal RNA", at positions 35 to 154 of the family's 154-position model. The record is from RNAcentral.
GAUGAAGAACGUAGCGAAAUGCGAUAAGUAAUGUGAAUUGCAGAAUUCAGUGAAUCAUCGAAUCUUUGAACGCACAUUGCGCCCCUUGGUAUUCCAUGGGGCAUGCCUGUUCGAGCGUCAUUUGUACCUUCAAGCUCUGCUUGGUGUUGGGUGUUUUGUCUCGCCUCUGCGUGUAGACUCGCCUUAAAACAAUUGGCAGCCGGCGUAUUGAUUUCGGAGCGCAGUACAUCUCGCGCUUUGCACUCAUAACGGCGACGUCCAAAAGUACAUUUUUACACUCUUGACCUCGGAUCAGGUAGGGAUACCCGCUGAACUUAAGCAUAUCAAUAAGCGGAGGA